This 460-nucleotide ribosomal RNA is filed under the name uncultured bacterium. RNAcentral's name for it is "partial 16S ribosomal RNA". It matches the Rfam family "Bacterial small subunit ribosomal RNA", at positions 338 to 795 of the family's 1533-position model. The record is from RNAcentral.
CCUACGGGAGGCAGCAGUGAGGAAUAUUGGUCAAUGGACGAAAGUCUGAACCAGCCAAGUCGCGUGAAGGAUGACGGCCCUAUGGGUUGUAAACUUCUUUUGUAGGGGAGUAAAGCCAGGGACGUGUGCCUUUUUGAAUGUACUGUACGAGUAAGGAUCGGCUAACUCCGUGCCAGCAGCCGCGGUAAUACGGAGGAUCCGAGCGUUAUCCGGAUUUAUUGGGUUUAAAGGGAGCGUAGGUGGGUUGUUAAGUCAGUUGUGAAAGCUUGGGGCUCAACCGUAGAAUUGCAUUUGAUACUGGCAGUCUUGAGUGUAGUUGAGGUAAGCGGAAUUCGUGGUGUAGCGGUGAAAUGCUUAGAUAUCACGAAGAACACCGAUGGCGAAGGCAGCUUACUAAACUGUGACUGACAUUGAGGCUCGAAAGUGUGGGUAGCAAACAGGAUUAGAUACCCCAGUAGUC